Molecule: ribosomal RNA, 1359 nt
Filed under: uncultured bacterium
Lineage: Bacteria
Description: bacterial SSU rRNA
Rfam family: Bacterial small subunit ribosomal RNA
Source: RNAcentral
AUUGAACGCUGGCGGCAGGCUUAACACAUGCAAGUCGAGCGGAGAGAGGUAGCUUGCUACUGAUCUUAGCGGCGGACGGGUGAGUAAUGCUUAGGAAUCUGCCUAUUAGUGGGGGACAACAUUUCGAAAGGAAUGCUAAUACCGCAUACGUCCUACGGGAGAAAGCAGGGGAUCUUCGGACCUUGCGCUAAUAGAUGAGCCUAAGUCGGAUUAGCUAGUUGGUGGGGUAAAGGCCUACCAAGGCGACGAUCUGUAGCGGGUCUGAGAGGAUGAUCCGCCACACUGGGACUGAGACACGGCCCAGACUCCUACGGGAGGCAGCAGUGGGGAAUAUUGGACAAUGGGCGCAAGCCUGAUCCAGCCAUGCCGCGUGUGUGAAGAAGGCCUUAUGGUUGUAAAGCACUUUAAGCGAGGAGGAGGCUACUUUAGUUAAUACCUAGAGAUAGUGGACGUUACUCGCAGAAUAAGCACCGGCUAACUCUGUGCCAGCAGCCGCGGUAAUACAGAGGGUGCAGGCGUUAAUCGGAUUUACUGGGCGUAAAGCGCGCGUAGGCGGCUAAUUAAGUCAAAUGUGAAAUCCCCGAGCUUAACUUGGGAAUUGCAUUCGAUACUGGUUAGCUAGAGUGUGGGAGAGGAUGGUAGAAUUCCAGGUGUAGCGGUGAAAUGCGUAGAGAUCUGGAGGAAUACCGAUGGCGAAGGCAGCCAUCUGGCCUAACACUGACGCUGAGGUGCGAAAGCAUGGGGAGCAAACAGGAUUAGAUACCCUGGUAGUCCAUGCCGUAAACGAUGUCUACUAGCCGUUGGGGCCUUUGAGGCUUUAGUGGCGCAGCUAACGCGAUAAGUAGACCGCCUGGGGAGUACGGUCGCAAGACUAAAACUCAAAUGAAUUGACGGGGGCCCGCACAAGCGGUGGAGCAUGUGGUUUAAUUCGAUGCAACGCGAAGAACCUUACCUGGCCUUGACAUAGUAAGAACUUUCCAGAGAUGGAUUGGUGCCUUCGGGAACUUACAUACAGGUGCUGCAUGGCUGUCGUCAGCUCGUGUCGUGAGAUGUUGGGUUAAGUCCCGCAACGAGCGCAACCCUUUUCCUUAUUUGCCAGCGAGUAAUGUCGGGAACUUUAAGGAUACUGCCAGUGACAAACUGGAGGAAGGCGGGGACGACGUCAAGUCAUCAUGGCCCUUACGGCCAGGGCUACACACGUGCUACAAUGGUCGGUACAAAGGGUUGCUACCUAGCGAUAGGAUGCUAAUCUCAAAAAGCCGAUCGUAGUCCGGAUUGGAGUCUGCAACUCGACUCCAUGAAGUCGGAAUCGCUAGUAAUCGCGGAUCAGAAUGCCGCGGUGAAUACGUUCCCGGGCCU